GACGAACGCUGGCGGCGUGCUUAACACAUGCAAGUCGAACGGAAAGGCCCUGCUUUUGUGGGGUGCUCGAGUGGCGAACGGGUGAGUAACACGUGAGUAACCUGCCCUUGACUUUGGGAUAACUUCAGGAAACUGGGGCUAAUACCGGAUAGGAGCUCCUGCUGCAUGGUGGGGGUUGGAAAGUUUCGGCGGUUGGGGAUGGACUCGCGGCUUAUCAGCUUGUUGGUGGGGUAGUGGCUUACCAAGGCUUUGACGGGUAGCCGGCAUGAGAGGGUGACCGGCAACAUUGGGACUGAGAUACGGACCAGACUCGUACGGGAGGCAGCAGUGGGGAAUAUUGCACAAUGGGCGGAAGCCUGAUGCAGAAACGCGGCGUGCGGGAUGACGGCCUUCGGGUUGUAAACCGCUUUCGCCUGUGACGAAGAGUGAGUGACGGUAAUGGGUAAAGAAGCACCGGCUAACUACGUG
RNAcentral lists this ribosomal RNA (468 nucleotides) under uncultured bacterium. RNAcentral describes it as "partial 16S ribosomal RNA". It matches the Rfam family "Bacterial small subunit ribosomal RNA", at positions 28 to 507 of the family's 1533-position model. The record is from RNAcentral.